This 673-nucleotide ribosomal RNA is filed under the name Auriporia aurulenta. RNAcentral's name for it is "eukaryotic LSU rRNA". The stretch from base 264 to 417 matches the Rfam family "5.8S ribosomal RNA". Lineage: Eukaryota; Fungi; Basidiomycota; Agaricomycetes; Polyporales; Auriporiaceae. The record is from RNAcentral.
UUAGAGGAAGUAAAAGUCGUAACAAGGUUUCCGUAGGUGAACCUGCGGAAGGAUCAUUAAUGAAUUGAACUGGAGCUGUCGCUGGCCUCCUCUCGGGGGGGCAUGUGCACGCUCUGCUUUCAUUUCCAUCUCACACCUGUGCACAUAUUGUAGGUCGGAUUUGAAAGGGGACUUGACUGUUUUCUUUCGGGCCUUCCUACGUUUCAACUUUAUAAACCACCAUAGUCUAUAGAAUGUCGUCUGCGUAUAACGCAACUUAAUACAACUUUCAGCAACGGAUCUCUUGGCUCUCGCAUCGAUGAAGAACGCAGCGAAAUGCGAUAAGUAAUGUGAAUUGCAGAAUUCAGUGAAUCAUCGAAUCUUUGAACGCAACUUGCGCCCCUUGGUAUUCCGAGGGGCAUGCCCGUUUGAGUGUCAUGGAAUUCUCAACUCACACAUUCUUGUUGAAUGUGUGGGCUUGGAUUUGGAGGUUUUUGCUGGCCGUCGGUCAGCUCCUCUUGAAUGCAUUAGCUUGAACCCCUUGCGGAUCGGCUUUCGGUGUGAUAAUUGUCUACGCCGUGAGCCGUGAAGUGACUUGUGUUGGGCUCAGCUUCUAAUCGUCUCUUUUGAGACAAUACAUUUUGACCUCUGACCUCAAAUCGGGUAGGACUACCCGCUGAACUUAAGCAUAUCA